RNAcentral lists this long non-coding RNA (1977 nucleotides) under Phascolarctos cinereus (koala). Its description in RNAcentral is "lncRNA (ENSPCIG00000023196.2)". The record is from RNAcentral. Lineage: Eukaryota; Metazoa; Chordata; Mammalia; Diprotodontia; Phascolarctidae.
GUGGUGACCUCCGCGCACCCUGGUUCUCAGUGCCUACAAAGGCUGGGGCAGUGAGAGCAGAGCGUGUGGGUACAGACUAGCCCUCUUUCAGCCACAGCUCCUACUGCACCAGAAAAUAUAAAUAAGUCUGGUGCUUUACCUUGAAAAACACUCUGAAGUCAGAAGUGGGAGUCUAAAUUCCGUCCCACGCAAAGCCGCAUCGGCGGGGUUUGCGGCAUCGGCGGGGUUCGCUGUGUUUUCCAGGUUCGCGGCAUUGGCGGGGUUCGCAGCGUUUGCCGGGUUUGCCGCGUUGGCGGGGUUCGCGGUUCACCUAAGAUACACAGAAUGCUAGCCUCACAAGGGGCAUAUAUGGGAUUUUCUAAUGACCGAGAAUGCCAGACCAGUGGUGCAGACUCUUUCGUAAGAUGCCCAGAGAACCCCACCCAUUUCCACCAAUGAGGUCCUCCGCGAGGAGGCAGAGUGCCCGCCGCGCUGGACCACUGCAACCACCACCACUGUUCUACCGCUACUGCUCUGCUGUUCUACUCUUCGCCCUACUGUUCUGCCUCUGCACACUGGUGUUCUGCCUCCGCGCCCUGGCGUUCUGCCUCCGCCCCUGGCGUUCUGCCUCCGCGCUCUGCCGUUCUGCCACUGCUGCUACUGCAGCUCCCCUGUUCUGUGGCUGCUGUUUGGCUGUUCUGCGGCCAGCACUCUCCGUGGUUGUUACUGUUGUUCUGGUACCGCUCACUGCUAUCUCUGUUCUGCCACCGCCGCCACUGCUAUGGUUGCACUGCCCCUGCCGCUGCAAUUGCUGCACUGCGACUGGCGGUGUUGCUGUCGUUGUAUCUGUAUCGCCACUGCGGAAGAGCUUUUGGAUAGUCUGGCCAGACGUUUCCUCUUCUCACAGGUAUCUAAGGAACUCGGGGAAGGUGACGUCAUCACCAGCGGGGCUAGGGCCUGCACCUACACGGUAUCUGCGGACAAUCUCAGCACCAUAACGCUGCUGGUAUUCCCUGAUCUCACCAAAUUUGUUUCGGUAGGCAGAGAGGAGGCGCUCCACUGGGUCACGAACGAACAAGAAUUUGAAAUAGUGCUGUAAGCGGUAUCGGAUCUCCUCUGGACGUAGGUCGGCCAGGAAUACCAGGUCACUUCGAUGGUCCAUCUUGAGCCUCACAUCCACACUGUCUAGGGCACCAGCCAGGACCUUGAGGACACGCUUCCAGUUGGAGCAGGCCACUUUGGGGACAUAGCAGUAGAGGAAGUGGUACUGGUCACUCACCAAGAUGUGACGGAAGAGGGUCCGACGCUGCCCUGCUGGGAGGUCCCAGGGGUCACGGGGCAUGCCUGGCUGCCCACAAACAGCCCGUAAGGUACGAUUCCGGACAUCCUGUCGCACCUGGUGGUCUGGGUCUCCAGGAUCUAGCAGUACUUCUGGACUUCCAGCUGCCACCCUACGCCAAACAGGGUCCAUUUUGCCGUGGGGAUGCAAAGGAGGAGGCUUCAUCUCAGCUAGGAUGCCCCUCUCAAUCAUGAGCAGCAGCCCACUGGAGGCCACUAUCACUCCAAACAUCAACAUGGAGGGGAGAAGCAGGGGUGGCCCUCCUGACCCGCCCCGACCCCUUCCUGCAGCCAGGGGGUUCCUCCUCGAUGCCCGUCCCAGGGGCUCCGUGCCCUUCGGGGCUGUCAGCGGGGUGAGAGGCCGGGGGAACAUGGGGUCCACUCCCCCCUCCAGGGAGAAGGACCUACUUAAGUGUUAGCUUUUACAGGACGGGGCAGUCACUUGGAGACAACUCGGUCUCAGGCAGCGAGAGAGGGGAUAGAGGCACUGAAAGUGAGUCCAGCUUCAGGCCUAGCCUAGUGGAAGGGUACGGGCUGCUGUGCUCUGGCUCUAGGCGAGAGAAAGCUGGGGGCGUGGGAAGGGGCCCCGGGACGGGCGCAGGGCGCUCCACUCGGGCCAGGCGGAGCGGCCCAGAGCGGGCAGCUGGACGUUACCGAGUA